RNAcentral lists this unclassified non-coding RNA (391 nucleotides) under soil metagenome. RNAcentral's name for it is "partial contains 5.8S ribosomal RNA, internal transcribed spacer 2, and large subunit ribosomal RNA". The stretch from base 1 to 122 matches the Rfam family "5.8S ribosomal RNA", at positions 35 to 154 of the family's 154-position model. The record is from RNAcentral.
GAUGAAGAACGCAGCGAAAUGCGAUACUUGGUGUGAAUUGCAGAAUCCCGUGAACCAUCGAGUCUUUGAACGCAAGUUGCGCCCGAAGCCAUUAGGUCGAGGGCACGCCUGCCUGGGCGUCACACGUCGUUGCCCCCCCAUCUACUCCUUCGGGAUUGCGGGGGGCGGAUGAUGGCCUCCCGUGCGCCUCGCCGCGCGGUUGGCAUAAAUGCCAAGUCCUCGGCGACGCACGCCACGACAAUCGGUGGUUGCGAAACCUCGGUUGCCCGUCGUGUGCGGUCGUCGCGCAUCGAGGGCUCGAAAAAAUUGCCGGGUUCCGGCUCGGCUUUCAACGCGACCCCAGGUCAGGCGGGGUUACCCGCUGAAUUUAAGCAUAUCAAUAAGCGUAGGA